RNAcentral lists this ribosomal RNA (253 nucleotides) under uncultured bacterium. RNAcentral's name for it is "partial 16S ribosomal RNA". It matches the Rfam family "Bacterial small subunit ribosomal RNA", at positions 524 to 776 of the family's 1533-position model. The record is from RNAcentral.
UACGGAGGGGGCUAGCGUUGUUCGGAAUUACUGGACGUAAAGCGCACGUAGGCGGGUAUCCAAGUUGGGGGUGAAAUCCCGGGGCUCAACCCCGGAACUGCCUCCAAAACUGGGUACCUAGAGUCCGAGAGAGGUGAGUGGAAUUCCCAGUGUAGAGGUGAAAUUCGUAGAUAUUGGGAAGAACACCAGUGGCGAAGGCGGCUCACUGGCUCGGUACUGACGCUGAGGUGCGACAGCGUGGGGAGCAAACAGG